This 2555-nucleotide long non-coding RNA is filed under the name Cyanistes caeruleus (blue tit). RNAcentral's name for it is "lncRNA (ENSCCEG00000007059.1)". Lineage: Eukaryota; Metazoa; Chordata; Aves; Passeriformes; Paridae. The record is from RNAcentral.
CCCAGUGUCACCAACAGUGUCACCAACAGCGUCACCAACAGUGUCACCAACAACGUCACCAACGGUGUCACCAACAGUGUCACCAACAGUGUCCCCAACGGUGUCCCCAGUGUCCCCAGGCGUGUCCCCAACAAUGUCCCCAACUGCCACAGCACCAUCCCCAGUGUCCCCAGUGUCCCCAGUGUCCUCAGCACCAUCCCCACUGUCCCCAAUGUCCCCACUGUCCCCGAGUGGGCCCCGCCACCCCCCGGCCCCCUCUUGACUUGGAGACUCGGUGACAGCGCCGGACACGGUGACACCCCCGGACAUGGUGACAGCGCUGGACACGGUGACACUGCCAGACACGGUGACACUGGACACGGUGACACUGGACAUGGUGACACUGGACACGGUGACACCCCCGGACAUGGUGACACGGCCAGCACAGGCUCCGCCCACCUUUAACCCGGGAGAGGGGGGUGGGGGAGGGGCUGGAAUUUCCCUCCCCUCCCCCCCCAGGAAGAUUUUUCCAGGGAAUUCCCGAAUUCCCGGACAGAUGCACUUUGUUGGGAAUUCCCAAAUCUUUUUUGUUUUUCCCGGGAAAAUAAAAAAAAUUCCCAAAAUUCCCAUAAAUCUUGUACGUACGCCCCUCCCCCACCCUGUAAAUAGCCCCUCCCCCCUCCGGCCGACAAUCGGGGGCGGCACCCCCAAAAUCCCGGGAUUUCACCCCAAAAAAUCCCGGGAUUUCCCAAAAAAAAUCCUGGGAAUUCAUCCAAAAACAUCCUGGGAAUUCAUCCCAAAAAUCCUGGGAUUUCACCCCAAAAAAUCCCGGGAUUUCCCAAAAAAAUUCUGGGAUUUCACCCCAAAAAUUCUGGGAUUUCCCAAAAAAAUCCUGGGAUUUCACCCCAAAAUCCUGGGAAUUCAUCCCAAAAAUCCUGGGAUUUCCCAAGAAAAAAAUCCUGGGAAUUCAUCCCAAAAAAUCCCGGGAUUCCCUCCAAAAAAUCUGGGAUUUCCCCUCAAAAAUUCUGGGAUUUCACCCCAAAAAUCCUGGGAAUUCAUCCCAAAAAAUCCUGGGAUUUCCCCAAAAAUCCUGGGAUUUCCCAAAAAAAAUCCUGGGAUUUCACCCCAAAAAUCCUGGGAAUUCAUCCCAAAAAUCCCGGGAUUUCACCCCAAAAAUCCUGGGAAUUCAUCCCAAAAAUCCUGGGAAUUCAUCCCAAAAAAUCCUGAGAUUUCCCCCAAAAAAUCCCAGGAUUUCCCAAAAAAAUCCUGGGAAUUCAUCCCAAAAAUCCUGGGAACUCAUCCCAAAAAAUCCUGGGAAUUCAUCUCAAAAAAUCCCGGGAUUUCCCCAAAAAAUCCUGGGAAUUCAUCCCAAAAAAUCCUGGGAAUUCAUCCCAAAAAAUCUUGGGAUUUCACCCCAAAAAUUCUGGGAUUUCACCCCAAAAAUUCUGGGAUUUCACCCCAAAAAUCCUGGGAAUUCAUCCCAAAAAAUCCUGGGAAUUCAUCCCAAAAAAAUCUGGGAUUUCCCCCAAAAAAUCCUGGGAAUUCAUCCCAAAAAAAAUCUGGGAUUUCCCAAUAAAAUCCUGGGAUUUUCCCCCCAAAAUUCCGGGAUUUCCCCCCAAAAUUCCAGGAUUUCCCCCCAAAUUCCAGGAUUUUCCCCCAAAUCCCGGGAUUUCCCCUCUAUAAAUAUUAUAAAUACAGAGAUGGAAACUUGGAAGAAUUCCCGAAUCUUGGACUCCUUUUUUUGGGAUUUGGGAAUUUCGGGAUCCAGCCCCGGCCCCAGGGACCCCAAAGUGUCCCCAAAGGCCCAAAAGUGUCCCCAAAGUGUCCCCAAGGUCCCCUGGGGGAGGAAAUCCUGUCCCUGGGGGUGUCAGUGUCCCAGGGAGGGGAGUGACAGUGUCCCCAGGUGGGUGUCAUUGUCCCCAGGGGGGUGACAGUGUCCCCAAGGGGUGACAGUGUCCCCAGGGGGGGUGUCAGUGUCCCCAAGGGGUGUCAGUGUCCCCAGGGGGUGUCAUUGUCCCCAGGGGGGGUGACAGUGUCCCCAGGUGGGUGUCAUUGUCCCCAGGGGUGGUGUCAGUGUCCCCAGGGGGUGUCAGUGUCCCCAAGGGCUGUCAUUGUCCCCAGGGGGGUGACAGUGUCCCCAGGGGGGUGUCAGUGUCCCCAGGGGGUGUCAGUGUCCCCAGGGGCUGUCAUUGUCCCCAGGGGGGUGACAGUGUCCCCAGGGGGUGACAGUGUCCCCAAGGGGUGACAGUAUCCCCAGGGGGGUGACAGUGUCCCCAAGGGGUGACAGUGUCCCCAAGGGGGGUGACAGUGUCCCCAGGGGUGGUGUCAUUGUCCCCAAGGGGGGGUGUCAGUGUCCCCAAGGAGUGUCAUUGUCCCCAGGGGUGGUGUCAGUGUCCCCAGUGAGGUGUCAGUGUCCCCAGGGGGGUGACAGUGUCCCCAGGGGGGUGUCAGUGUCCCCAAGGGGGUGACAGUGUCCCCAGGGGGUGUCAGUGUCCCCAGGGGGGUGGCAGUGUCCCCAGGGGUGGUGUCAUUGUCCCCAGGGGGGUGUCAGUGUCCCCAGGGGGUGUCAUUGUCCC